Long non-coding RNA from Gallus gallus (chicken), 3401 nucleotides. NCBI's taxonomy places the organism in Eukaryota, Metazoa, Chordata, Aves, Galliformes, Phasianidae. The record is from Ensembl.
CCGCCGUGCCGGGGCUGCUCCCGCGGCGCUGCAUCCACACAGCGAACCGACGGCCCCGCGGUGCGAUCCGGAGCGCGUCCGCUUUAUGAAGUCGGGCAUCCUGCGUGGUAAACGCGCGCGGUGGGUACCUGGAAAGCGCUGUGCGGUCUCUUCCAUCGUGCGAGCCGGCUCGGGGCAAAGAACGCGUUGCCCUAUUCGUGUUCCCGUCCCGCUCCUCUCCGUCCCUCCUCGCUCUGCUCUCCCGUCGGCGGUCGCUAGAGGGAAGCGCACUCCCGUCCCGCUGCGGGCGCUGUGUGGGGCUGCCCCGGGGGUUCGGCUCCGUUCGGAAGCAGCGGCCGCCGUGGGGCUCAGCCCAAAUUCAGGCGGGGGGUCUCUGGGGGGCAGUGCGAAGCCGCGCUCCCGCUCCAGAAACCGGGUAACGAGGCCGCGUGAGUUAUUUGCGGCUCUCUGUGGGCUGCGGUGCCCUCUGCCCAAGAUAAGGCCCCUCUGCGGGGACCCCAGAUCAUUUUGCUAAGCUCUAAUUGUCCUGAUUCGUGCUUGGAGAAUCCAGGCUGCGAGUUAACCUGAUGGUGCCUGCAGCACUCACCUCUCAGUCUGCACGGAGCCAGCUGUUCCCUUGUCCUCUUUGCUCCCUCAAACCAAAGUUUGUGCAGUGUUGCUCAAAGCUUCCCCAUCUUUAGAGGUGCAGCAGACCCCAUGGGAUACGGGACCAGGAGAGCACUGUGAUGUGGGGCUGUGUGGGGUUUGGAAGCAGCUCAUGGUCUGCAUCCAACCUCUGCUCCUUCCUCCCAUCCCUGCUUUACCCCCAGCCCCAUCUGGCUGCCCCUUCCCUGGAGCUCGGGCACCUUGGGUGCAGUGGCAGAGAGCAGCCAAGCUACGGUGACUGCUGCUGUGACCUUGGCUGGUGUCCUUCAGAGCCACUGUCCUUCAGAGGGAGAAGUCUGUACCUCCCCAGCAGCUCUGCCCUACAUCCUCCUGGUGCCGGGGCCGCCACCUCCGGGGCUGCAUCCUCAGUGCAGGGCAGGGGCUUCUCCCCUCCCAUCAGCAGUUCAGGUCACUCCCAUACAUGUGGUCUGCAGCAUACUCGUGCUCUGACCUCAGAGCUACAGGGAUGCAGGGGCUGAGGGUCCCCAUUCCCCAGGUUCACAUCCUCCUCUCCCCCCUUCCUCAUGCAGCUCAGGGCUGGGCAGGUUUCUCCUGUGAUUAAAACAGACUGAGAGCCCCACUUCAUCACUACAAUUGCCCUGUCAAUAUGCAGGCAUUAGCGAGGGCUGCUGGACCAGUCCUUGUGCACUGACACAUCCCUGUCAAUAACCCCUGGAUUUAAGCCCGUGGCUCAGAGUAUCUUUGCUUAUCUCAGCUCCCCAAAGCACUUACGUUCCCGGCCAUCAUAACUCCCUGCCUGUAAGCACAGUCAGGCACCAUUAGACCCGGAGCAAACAGCUGCUGCAGCAAAUUCUGCAGCUAAAAGUGCCGUGAAGGUGUUUUCUACCUGCUCUGUUGCAGGUGAGUUCCUGCAGCCCAGCAGGUGAGGGCUCUGUAUCGGGUGGGCUCACAGUGCAGGAAUGUCCUGCAGCAGUGCGUGCCCAUAGCAGUGCGUGCUCACAGAGCUCUCCCAGGCGAGGACAAUGCAAGGAUUUAUUUUUAUGCAGCCCAUUUCAUUUAUCUCUGGCACAUCACAGAGCGACAAUUCACCUCUCGGUGCACCAGCUGCAAAAAGCUCUGCUCCCUCUGCCUGGAAGCACCUCAGAUUGGCCCUUCCCCGAGGCUGGGUGUUUAACAGAGACUUACAGCUCAAUCUGUUUAGCUUAUCGAAAAGUAGCCUGAGAUGUGCUUUGAUUGCAGUGUACAAGCACCUUCCCGGGGAGAAAAGUGCCAGGUAUUAAAAGCCCUUUAACUUUGCUGAGUGAGGAAUAAUGAGAACUGAAGGCUUGGAGAUAAAGUCAGACGAAGGGACACUUGGAACCUGCAGCCAGAGGGGUGCUGGGGGGCCUCUCUGAGGGCAGUGCUGGGCUGGGCAGCUCCAUCCCUCUGCCUGGUGUUGGCAGAAGCACAUCUUAAGCUCCUGUGCUCUGCUGAGCCUGGGAACGCAGAGGUGACCUUUCCUGGGGCAGCCGGAGCGUGAUGAAGGAAAUUUCUGCAACAAGGGAAAUUCCAGCCUGCUGGGAAGUGUGCAUCGUGGUGCAACUCCAACCCAAAAUCAAGCACCUCUCUUCACUCUGAUUGCAGCCCUGUGCCCACCUCUGCAGUGGGGGCAAGAGGGGCUGCAGGCCCUGCUGAGUACCCCAAGGAACCCCAGGAGCUGCUGCAUAAGGGCCAUAGCAGAGCUCAAUUUGCUCCCUGCUGUUCCUGCAUGCCCGGGCUCAGCUGCAGCCAGCAGAGCAUGAAGCAGCUUUGCAGGUGCAAAGGCAAAUCUGUCUGCCCGGCAGCUCCCAGAUUUCAGAGCCAGGGCACAAUGACACAGCUCUGCUCCAGCUGCUGCGGCGCUGCCAGCUUUAUCCCAACCUUCCUCUCCACCUGCCGUCACUGCACCACAGUCAGAGCUGCGCACAGCGCUGCCCUCUUGGCUGCUACUGAAAAAAUGAAAUAAAAGGGAAACUCUCAUCCUGGGCACGUGUUGGACAAAAAGGAACGGGGCAGCUCCAGCCCUGUGCUUGGGAUGCCUUCAUAAAGGGGUAUUUCCAGGGCAGGUCUGCACCUGCGGAUGGUCGGUGCCUCAGCAGAGCAGUGCAGGUGGGUGUGAUGACCACAGAUAACUGCUGGAGUCUGCACAGAUCCGGAGAGGAGCAGAGACACAAAGCAGAGAUAUUGAGUAAUUCCCAAACAACAUUUCAUGCGCUGAAUAUCUGGGCUGUGAUUCUGCUGAGACCUGGCUUUGUAAUUGGAUCUGUCAAAAACCCAUCACACUUAAUGUGCAGCUGUCACCGAGACACGCGUUUUCAUGCUGCACCUCAAGGCUGACGCCGGAUUCCCCCUCUCCUGUCCCCCUUUGUGUGCUGGAUCCAUCAUGGGAGCCUGGAGCUGCCUGGCCAGCAGAGGUUGUGCUGGUGACCCAUUGCAGCUCCUGGUGGCCCCAUCACAUCAUCUCCCCAUAGAGGAAAGCCCAGGGAAACCCCAGCAGUGCACUGGGCUCUGGUCCCAGUAAACCCACCUGAGUUCCACCAGGCAAGGAGCAGGAGAUGCAAUGGGGAUGUUUUGUGUAUUGACACCAUUUAUAAGCUGAUGUAAAUGAGCUUUACAUAUUACUGCUUUCCUUGCUCAUUGUUUGCAGGAGGAGGACAGAAAUGUGCUCCUUCAACCUGUGCUUUGCAGGGCCCAGCCUUGCAGACCCCCGGCUCCCUGCCCACCAUAAAUCAGGGGGAUCCCUGGAAGGUGCUGAGAGUGGGGCCAGAUAUGCUGGG